CCUACGGGAGGCAGCAGUGAGGAAUAUUGGUCAAUGGGCGCUAGCCUGAACCAGCCAAGUAGCGUGAAGGAUGACUGCCCUAUGGGUUGUAAACUUCUUUUAUAUGGGAAUAAAGUGCAGUAUGUAUACUGCUUUGCAUGUACCUUAUGAAUAAGGAUCGGCUAACUCCGUGCCAGCAGCCGCGGUAAUACGGAGGAUCCGAGCGUUAUCCGGAUUGAUUGGGGUUAAAGGGAGCGUAGGCGGGUUGUUAGGUCAGUUGUGAAAGUUUGCGGCUCAACCGUAAAAUUGCAGUUGAUACUGGCAUCGUGGAGUACAGUAGAGGUAGGCGGAAUUCGUGGUGGAGCGGUGAAAUGCUUAGAUAUCACGAAGAACUCCGAUUGCGAAGGCAGCCUGCUGGACUGUAACUGACGCUGAUGCUCGAAAGUGUGGGUAUCAAACAGGAUUAGAUACCCCUGUAGUC
This 460-nucleotide ribosomal RNA is filed under the name uncultured bacterium. RNAcentral describes it as "partial 16S ribosomal RNA". It matches the Rfam family "Bacterial small subunit ribosomal RNA", at positions 338 to 795 of the family's 1533-position model. The record is from RNAcentral.